GCGGGAGUAGCCUAGACUGGUCAAUGGCGCCGGCUUGAGGGGCCGGUUCCUUAGUGGAUUCGCCGGUUCAAAGCUUUUUGCGCCAAUGCGCAUACGCCUUCGUGCAUCUUCGAACGAUUGCGUUCGAAGUAUUUCGGACGCAGUCCGAAAACGAAGGCGCGCGUUUCGAAAUUCCGGCCUCCCGCACCA
RNAcentral lists this transfer RNA (189 nucleotides) under Candidatus Aenigmatarchaeota archaeon. RNAcentral describes it as "tRNA-Leu". Lineage: Archaea; Nanobdellati; Candidatus Aenigmatarchaeota. The record is from RNAcentral.